RNAcentral lists this ribosomal RNA (485 nucleotides) under uncultured bacterium. RNAcentral describes it as "partial 16S ribosomal RNA". It matches the Rfam family "Bacterial small subunit ribosomal RNA", at positions 29 to 507 of the family's 1533-position model. The record is from RNAcentral.
AUGAACGCUGGCGGCGUGCCUAAUACAUGCAAGUCGAACGCUGGAGAUCUAGCUUGCUAGCUCGAAGGAGUGGCGAACGGGUGAGUAAUACAUAAGCAACCUACCCACGAAGACUGGGAUAAUCUCUGGAAACGGGGACUAAUACCGGAUAGGUAAUCGGAAGGCAUCUUCUGGUUAUUAAAGGUUAAAAACACUGGUGGAUGGGCUUAUGGCGCAUUAGUUAGUUGGUGAGGUAACGGCCCACCAAGACGAUGAUGCGUAGCCGGCCUGAGAGGGUGAACGGCCACAUUGGGACUGAGACACGGCCCAGACUCCUACGGGAGGCAGCAGUAGGGAAUUUUCGGCAAUGGGGGCAACCCUGACCGAGCAACGCCGCGUGAGUGAAGACGGCCUUCGGGUUGUAAAGCUCUGUUGUAGGGGAAGAACGGUAGAUAGAGAAUAUCUAAGUGACGGUACCUUACCAGAAAGCCACGGCUAACUACGUG